RNAcentral lists this ribosomal RNA (497 nucleotides) under uncultured bacterium. Its description in RNAcentral is "partial 16S ribosomal RNA". It matches the Rfam family "Bacterial small subunit ribosomal RNA", at positions 28 to 507 of the family's 1533-position model. The record is from RNAcentral.
GACGAACGCUGGCGGCGUGCCUAAUACAUGCAAGUUGAGCGAUGAAGAUUGGUGCUUGCACCAAUUUGAAGAGCAGCGAACGGGUGAGUAACGCGUGGGUAAUCUGCCUUUGAGCGGGGGACAACAUUUGGAAACGAAUGCUAAUACCGCAUAACAACUUUAAACAUAAGUUUUAAGUUUGAAAGAUGCAAUUGCAUCACUCAAAGAUGAUCCCGCGUUGUAUUAGCUAGUUGGUGAGGUAAAGGCUCACCAAGGCGAUGAUACAUAGCCGACCUGAGAGGGUGAACGGCCACAAUGGGACUGGGACACGGCCCAAACUCCUACCGGGAGCAGCAGUAGGGAAUUUUCGGCAAUGGAGGAAAGUCUGACCGAGCAACGCCGCGUGAGUGAAGGAGGUUUUCGGAUCGGAAAACUCUGUUGGUAGAGAAGAACGAUGGGGGGAGGGGAAAGCUCAUCAAGUGACGGUAACUACCCAGAAAGGGACGGCUAACUACGUG